This 253-nucleotide ribosomal RNA is filed under the name uncultured bacterium. RNAcentral's name for it is "partial 16S ribosomal RNA". It matches the Rfam family "Bacterial small subunit ribosomal RNA", at positions 524 to 776 of the family's 1533-position model. The record is from RNAcentral.
UACGAGGGGGGCGAGCGUUGUUCGGAAUUAUUGGGCGUAAAGGGUGCGUAGGCGGUUUGGUAAGUCUGAUGUGAAAUCUAUGGGCUCAACUCAUAGUCUGCAUCGGAAACUGCCGUGCUGGAGUGUGGGAGAGGUGCGUGGAAUUCCUGGUGUAGCGGUGAAAUGCGUAGAUAUCAGGAGGAACACCUGUGGCGAAAGCGGCGCACUGGACCACAACUGACGCUGAGGCGCGAAAGCUAGGGGAGCAAACAGG